This 482-nucleotide ribosomal RNA is filed under the name uncultured bacterium. Its description in RNAcentral is "bacterial SSU rRNA". It matches the Rfam family "Bacterial small subunit ribosomal RNA", at positions 8 to 480 of the family's 1533-position model. The record is from RNAcentral.
AGAGUUUGAUCCUGGCUCAGGAUGAACGCUAGCGGCAGGCUUAACACAUGCAAGUCGAAGGGCAACGGGGAGAGUGCUUGCACUCUCUGCCGGCGACUGGCGCACGGGUGAGUAACACGUAUGCAACCUGCCCUCCACAGGGGGACAACCUUCCGAAAGGGAGGCUAAUCCCGCGUAUAUCCCUUGGGGGCAUCCUUGGGGGAGGAAAGGAUUACCGGUGGAGGAUGGGCAUGCGGCGCAUUAGGCAGUAGGCGGGGUAACGGCCCACCUAACCGACGAUGCGUAGGGGUUCUGAGAGGAAGGUCCCCCACACUGGUACUGAGACACGGACCAGACUCCUACGGGAGGCAGCAGUGAGGAAUAUUGGUCAAUGGGCGGGAGCCUGAACCAACCAAGCCGCGUGAAGGAAGAAAGCGCCAAGCGUCGUAAACUUCUUUUGUCGGGGAACAAAGGGCGCCACGUGUGGCGUUGUGAGUGUACCC